GACGAACGCUGGCGGCGUGCUUAACACAUGCAAGUCGUACGGUAAGGCCCUUUCGGGGGUACACGAGUGGCGAACGGGUGAGUAACACGUGAGUAACCUGCCCACAACUUUGGGAUAACGCUAGGAAACUGGUGCCAAUACUGGAUAUGUGCUCCUUCUUCAUGGUGGGGGUUGGAAAGUUCCGGCGGUUGUGGAUGGACUCGCGGCCUAUCUGCUUGUUGGUGGGGCAGUGGGCUACCGAGGCGGCGUGGGGUAGCCGGCCUGAGAGGGUGACCGGCCACAUUGGGACUGAGGUACGGCCCAGGCUCCUACGGGAGGCAGCAGUGGGGAAUAUUGCACAAUGGGCGCAAGCCUGAUGCAGAAGCGCCGCGUGCGGGAUGACGGCCUUAGGGUUGUAAACCGCUUUCAGCAGGGACGAAGCUUUUUGUGACGGUACCUGCAGAAGAAGCACCGGCUAACUACGUG
RNAcentral lists this ribosomal RNA (465 nucleotides) under uncultured bacterium. Its description in RNAcentral is "partial 16S ribosomal RNA". It matches the Rfam family "Bacterial small subunit ribosomal RNA", at positions 28 to 507 of the family's 1533-position model. The record is from RNAcentral.